GAAGCAUUGGUUAUGAGAGAAUCCAAAAUGUUGCACUUUGAUUACUACUGAAGAAACUUAGGGGAAUAUAUAUCUAUGAGAUGCUC
RNAcentral lists this small nucleolar RNA (86 nucleotides) under Cephalotus follicularis. RNAcentral describes it as "Small nucleolar RNA snoR26". It matches the Rfam family "Small nucleolar RNA snoR26". Lineage: Eukaryota; Viridiplantae; Streptophyta; Magnoliopsida; Oxalidales; Cephalotaceae. The record is from Rfam by way of RNAcentral.